RNAcentral lists this long non-coding RNA (352 nucleotides) under Salvia miltiorrhiza (redroot sage). Its description in RNAcentral is "long non-coding RNA (SMIL_LNC003071)". The record is from RNAcentral. Lineage: Eukaryota; Viridiplantae; Streptophyta; Magnoliopsida; Lamiales; Lamiaceae.
AAAUAGUGAUCAACUUUUUGGCGCCGUUGCCGGGGACUGUUAAGAAGUUGCUUUAAUAUUUUCGAUAGGACUUUAUAGUACUACAGGUUUUAUUUGUUUUUUUUUUUCUCUGCUCUAAUUUUUAAAGUGUGAUUUUGUAGGUUUCGCAUGAACACAAGAUCUCACGGUAGUCCUCUUUUUAAGUUUGAUCCUGAAAUCAACGCUACUUUGCGCAAUAUCACCAAGCAAAAGAAUCAAGCUGAGCAGGAUACGAUGGCUACUCCUGAGCAAAUCCAAAUUCAAAUGCGAGCUCUGCAAGAGCAAGUGAAGAAGUUACUUGAUGAAAAGGCGGCUACAGAGGCUCAGAAGCCUC